CAGCACAAGAUGUGCAGAUGUUGUAUCAAAAGGUAGAAGAGUUUAUACAGAAGCACCUUGCUGCUGUUGCAGCUCCUCAGACUUCUGGAGAAGAUAAUUCAGGUAGCAUGGUCAGCUUUGUGCUUUAUGUAAUUAAAACCUUGGCAGAGGUGCACAAAAACUUUAUUGAACCAGCAAAUCUGGUCCGUCUUCUUCAGCGCCUGGCUCGAGACAUGGGGUCAUCUAAAACCUUGGCAGAGGUGCACAGAAACUUUAUUGAACCAGCAAAUCUGGUCCGUCUUCUUCAGCGCCUGGCUCGAGACAUGGGGUCAUCCAUUGGAUCCCAUGUGAGGCAGGUAUUCCAUUAUGUUUCAGAUGCUGUAUUUGUUAUCAUUUAGUUUCUGCUGAUUCAAGUGUGAGAGUAUGAGAUGUAUUUAUUUGAUAAAACCAUUUUCAAGAGCAUUCAUUGCCCUUUGAAAGAAGUCAAAAUAAAAAAAGAAUCUAAUGCUCUACUGGAUUUGAAGACUUCCAAUGCUCAUGCUAUUUGAAAUAGCUUUCAACAUGGAGUCGGGACUCCAUAACGUACACAAAGAUUAAGUGAUCUAUGAAUAUUAUCCCAAUUCAGGUCUUGUUCCGUGCUUAAAUGGAUAACUGAAACUCUAAAUGAUUCUGGAGUGUCUUUUGGUAUACCUUAGAGCUGAUUUUACGCGUUUUUCUUGAGUUUGAGUUGGCUCAAUUCUUCUCUUAACUGUACGUGAGGCAGAUUCUUUUAAUGUAGUGCACAUUUUAUUGACCACAAGUCAUGGUAUAC
RNAcentral lists this long non-coding RNA (790 nucleotides) under Nicotiana benthamiana. RNAcentral describes it as "long non-coding RNA (NBEN_LNC027331)". Lineage: Eukaryota; Viridiplantae; Streptophyta; Magnoliopsida; Solanales; Solanaceae. The record is from RNAcentral.